This 456-nucleotide ribosomal RNA is filed under the name uncultured bacterium. RNAcentral describes it as "bacterial SSU rRNA". It matches the Rfam family "Bacterial small subunit ribosomal RNA", at positions 35 to 500 of the family's 1533-position model. The record is from RNAcentral.
GCUGGCGGUGCGCCUUAUGCAUGCAAGUUGAGCGAAGCUUUUUGGUAGUUUACUACUAGAAAUGACUGAGCGGCGAACGGGUGAGUAACGCGUGAGCAAUCUACCUUAGUUACUGGGAUAGCCCGAGGAAACUCGGAUUAAUACCGGAUAUUCUUAUUUUUUCACAUGAAGUUUUAAGGAAAGGUCAGCCGAACUAAGAUGAGCUCGCGUUCUAUCAGCUAGUUGGUGGGGUAAAAGCCUACCAAGGCUACGACGGAUAGCUGGUCUGAGAGGACGAUCAGCCACACUGGGACUGAGACACGGCCCAGACUCCUACGGGAGGCUGCAGCAGGGAAUAUUGUGCAAUGAGCGAAAGCUUGACACAGCGACACCGCGUGUGGGAUGACGGUUCUAGGAUUGUAAACCACUUUCAGGAGGGAAGAAAAUGACGGUACCUCCACAAGAAGACCCGGCCAA